AUGCCAUCCCUCGCGGCCACGACUAUCGCGAGUGUGUCGCCGCAGGCAUUCGAGCGCGAGCGGCGGUCGAUCCGCGCAGAUGCACUCAAGAGGCCACGAUUCUCCGUAUCACUCUCCGCAGAGGAGAUUGAGGAAGACAUCUACGGCCUCACCGGCGCACUCCCGCGUAGCCGCCCUCGCGGUCGGCCCCGCAAAGUGCAAAAGCAGAUCGAUCUGCUAUUUCCCGGCGCGCGGUUAUCGCAGAUCAACAUGGAGUCCUACCGGGUGUCGGACAAUCGCUGA
Molecule: ribosomal RNA, 282 nt
Filed under: Triticum aestivum (bread wheat)
Lineage: Eukaryota; Viridiplantae; Streptophyta; Magnoliopsida; Poales; Poaceae
Description: partial small subunit ribosomal RNA
Source: RNAcentral